This 67-nucleotide transfer RNA is filed under the name Brookesia exarmata. RNAcentral describes it as "partial tRNA-Trp". Lineage: Eukaryota; Metazoa; Chordata; Lepidosauria; Squamata; Chamaeleonidae. The record is from RNAcentral.
AGAAACUUAGGAUAUUUUAAACCAAUAGCCUUCAAAGCUAUAAAAAAGAACAAACCUCUUAGUUUCU